CAGUAGCCCGGUAAUACGUAGGUGGCAAGCGUUGUCCGGAAUUAUUGGGCGUAAAGGGCUCGCAGGCGGUUUCUUAAGUCUGAUGUGAAAGCCCCCGGCUCAACCGGGGAGGGUCAUUGGAAACUGGGAAACUUGAGUGCAGAAGAGGAGAGUGGAAUUCCACGUGUAGCGGUGAAAUGCGUAGAGAUGUGGAGGAACACCAGUGGCGAAGGCGACUCUCUGGUCUGUAACUGACGCUGAGGAGCGAAAGCGUGGGGAGCGAACAGGAUUAGAUACCCCCGUAGUCCCUGUCUCUUAUACC
RNAcentral lists this ribosomal RNA (301 nucleotides) under uncultured bacterium. RNAcentral's name for it is "partial 16S ribosomal RNA". It matches the Rfam family "Bacterial small subunit ribosomal RNA", at positions 509 to 808 of the family's 1533-position model. The record is from RNAcentral.